UUAUCAAAAACUAGCUCUAAGUUUUAUUUAGAGUCUCUUCUGCCCACUGAUAUGUUGAAUGGCCGCAGUACCCUGACUGUGCUAAGGUAGCGUGAUUCUUGUUUUCUUAAUUAGAAAUCUGUUCAAAGAAUGAUAUGCAGAAAAUCUAUUGUUUUUAUACCUUGUAAAUUUAAAUCGUUAGUGAAAAUUCUAACUUGCUAAUAAAAGACGAGAAGACCCCAUAAAACUUUAUUUUACACUAAUCUUUAUUCCUUAAAAAUUUAGAUGGGGACUCUUGAGUAUUUUUAUAACUUUUUUGAUCUAUUUUAUAUUUUCUGAGAAGCUACUUUGGGGAUAACAGGGUAAAAUAUUUAGAGAGUUCUUAUCGAUAAAUAUGAUUACUACCUCGAUGUUGGAUUAUUUUAUCAUAUAUAUUGUAGCAGUAUAUAUAGUUAGUCUGUUCGACUAUUAAAAAAUUACAUGAUCUGAGUUCAACCCGGAG
The sequence is a ribosomal RNA, 481 nucleotides long. It matches the Rfam family "Bacterial large subunit ribosomal RNA", at positions 1804 to 2621 of the family's 2925-position model.